UACAGAGGUGGCAAGCGUUGUUCGGAAUUACUGGGCGUAAAGGGCGCGUAGGCGGCCAUCUAAGUCAGACGUGAAAUCCCCAGGCUCAACCUGGGAACUGCGUCCGAUACUGGCAGGCUUGAAUCCGGGAGAGGGAUGUGGAAUUCCAGGUGUAGCGGUGAAAUGCGUAGAUAUCUGGAGGAACACCGGUGGCGAAGGCGGCAUCCUGGACCGGUAUUGACGCUGAGGCGCGAAAGCUAGGGUAGCAAACGGG
This 253-nucleotide ribosomal RNA is filed under the name uncultured bacterium. Its description in RNAcentral is "partial 16S ribosomal RNA". It matches the Rfam family "Bacterial small subunit ribosomal RNA", at positions 524 to 776 of the family's 1533-position model. The record is from RNAcentral.